AAAGUUGCAAAUAUUCUAAAAACUUUGCCGAACUAUAAGAACUUUGGAAAAAUGUAAUUACUUAGCAGAACUGCAAUAACUUAGAGGAAACAUAAUACUUAGCAGAAAAAUACAAUAACAUAGAAGAACUCAGCAGAAACAUAACUUCUCAGAAAUACAACAAUUUAGGAGAGAUACUAUAAGAAAACAGAAAUGCUAUAUUUAGCCAAAAACACUUAAACAUUACAGAAAUACUGUGAUUUAUGAAAAAUACUACAACAUAGCAGAAAUACUGUGAUUUAGCAGAGAUACUGUGAUGUACCACAAAUACUGUGAUGUACCACAAAUACUGUAAUUUAGCAGAAAAACUAUGAUUUGGCACAAAUGCUGUGAUUCAGCAUAUUAUAUAUUAAUAUUAUAACAUAGCAGAGAUACCAUAAUUUAGUAGAAAUACUAUGAUAUAGCUGAAAUAAUAUGAUUCUGUGAUUUAGCAGAAUAGUAAUAACUUAAAUAGAAAUAUUGGAAAAGCAAAAUGACCAGCUGAAAAAAGCUGAACAUGGUAAGGUUCCCUCAAAACUACUUGUUCACCUGUGAAUAAUUGGCAGAAAUACAAAAAAAAAAAAAACAGGAAAUAACAGCCAGCGGAUACACACAAUUACAAACAUGGACACACAUGGAAACACAAAGCCACAGAGAGACACACACAGGAUCUAUGCCAGUCAACCAGUCUGAACGUAUUCAAUUUUUAUGCUAGAAUGAGAUGCUGCCAAAAAAGGGUCUCUCCCUCUCUCUCUCUCUCUCUCUCUCUCUCUCUCUCUUUCUCACACACACACAGACACAACAAUGAUGGUGACAUUUUCUGAAAGCCAGCAAAAAUACCUGUGUUUUGAUGUGGGGCUUGAGUGAAAAUUGAGCGAGUAGCAAGAAGUUGUUUGGACAUGAAGAGAAGAUUCAGAAAGGGCCAGUAUCCACUCUAAGCCAAGAGCAUAGCAACCAUAACAACACAUGUAUUUUCUGAAAAAUCAUAAAGAUGAAACUGAAAACUUAAAGAGGGAUAGGAUUAAAAUGGUAAACGAUAUGAAAAAGCUGAAUCAUACAUGAAUAGCCCAAUAAUUUGAGAACAUUUUAAAGUUUGAAUUGUUGCUCUACGUGACAGUAUGAGGAAGUAGUUAAGUUUCAAAAACAAGCAAGUUUUUGUAGAACUUUGGAAGUUUCCCAUUCAUUUCAAUGGGACAAAAAAUGCAUAAAAAGCUUAAUAUGUUAAAAAGUAUAAUAGUACAAAAUACCAAAAGUCAUAGCCGGCAUUAGCAGAAAUAGCAGAAUAGUUUAAAAUUUGAACGGUAAAAAUCAGACAAAAAUUGUGGAAGUAGUUAAAGGCCAAAGAACAUACGGAAGCGACAAGAAUAAAGAAGAUAAGGAUAAAGAAUAAAGAGAAAC
Astatotilapia calliptera (eastern happy) is the source of this 1416-nucleotide long non-coding RNA. Lineage: Eukaryota; Metazoa; Chordata; Actinopteri; Cichliformes; Cichlidae. The record is from Ensembl.